This 399-nucleotide RNase P RNA is filed under the name Thermocoleostomius sinensis A174. Its description in RNAcentral is "Bacterial RNase P class A". It matches the Rfam family "Bacterial RNase P class A". From Rfam's summary of the family: Ribonuclease P (RNase P) is a ubiquitous endoribonuclease, found in archaea, bacteria and eukarya as well as chloroplasts and mitochondria. Lineage: Bacteria; Bacillati; Cyanobacteriota; Cyanophyceae; Oculatellales; Oculatellaceae. The record is from Rfam by way of RNAcentral. RNAcentral also lists the same sequence under 1 other name.
GAGGAGGCGCAGGCGGUUGCGGGCAUUUUGCCUGAGGAAAGUCCGGGCUUCCGAAAGACCGAACCUGCUGGGUAACGCCCAGUGCGCGCGAGCGUGAGGAGAGUGCCACAGAAACAUACCGCCAAUGGAAAGGACAGCUUGAGCCUUUCACAGGUAAGGGUGCAAAGGUGCGGUAAGAGCGCACCAGCAACAUCGAGAGGUGUUGGCUCGGUAAACCCCGGUUGGAAGCAAGGUCGAAGGAGCAAAGGUUGGUCUUUUUCCGGCUCCGGGUAGGAGUGAGUUUCACUUCUGCGUAUUCCGCAUGAGGUGUCUGGUGACAGGCAUCCCAGAUAGAUAACCGCCCUCUGGAUGAGCGAUCGUCUAGGGAACAGAACCCGGCUUAUGUCCGCCUCUUCCCUU